GAUGAACGCUGGCGGCGUGCCUAAUACAUGCGAGUCGAGCGAACAGAUGAGGAGCUUGCUCCUCUGACGUUAGCGGCGGACGGGUGAGUAACACGUGGAUAACCUACCUAUAAGACUGGGAUAGCUUCGGGAAACCGGAGCUAAUACCGGAUAAUAUAUUGAACCGCAUGGUUCAAUAGUGAAAGACGGUUUUGCUGUCACUUAUAGAUGGAUCCGCGCCGCAUUAGCUAGUUGGUAAGGUAACGGCUUACCAAGGCAACGAUGCGUAGCCGACCUGAGAGGGUGAUCGGCCACACUGGAACUGAGACACGGUCCAGACUCCUACGGGAGGCAGCAGUAGGGAAUCUUCCGCAAUGGGCGAAAGCCUAACGGAGCAACGCCGCGUGAGUGAUGAAGGUCUUCGGAUCGUAAAACUCUGUUAUUAGGGAAGAACAAAUGUGUAAGUAACUAUGCACGUCUUGACGGUACCUAAUCAGAAAGCCACGGCUAACUACGUG
Molecule: ribosomal RNA, 497 nt
Filed under: uncultured bacterium
Lineage: Bacteria
Description: partial 16S ribosomal RNA
Rfam family: Bacterial small subunit ribosomal RNA
Source: RNAcentral